Molecule: non-coding RNA, 136 nt
Filed under: uncultured Anaerobutyricum sp.
Lineage: Bacteria; Bacillati; Bacillota; Clostridia; Lachnospirales; Lachnospiraceae
Description: FMN riboswitch (RFN element)
Rfam family: FMN riboswitch aptamer (RFN element)
About the family: The RFN element is a highly conserved domain that is found frequently in the 5'-untranslated regions of prokaryotic mRNAs that encode for flavin mononucleotide (FMN) biosynthesis and transport proteins.
Source: RNAcentral
CUUCGGGGCAGGGUGUGAUUCCCGACCGGCGGUGUGUGUCAUAUGCCUGGAAAGAGCAGCUGACAUGAGCCCGCGAGCCGAUUGGCAUGAUCCGGUGAGAUUCCGGGGCCGACAGUAGAGUCUGGAUGAGAGAAGU